This 254-nucleotide ribosomal RNA is filed under the name uncultured bacterium. Its description in RNAcentral is "partial 16S ribosomal RNA". It matches the Rfam family "Bacterial small subunit ribosomal RNA", at positions 524 to 776 of the family's 1533-position model. The record is from RNAcentral.
UACGGGGGGAGCAAGCGUUGUUCGGAUUUACUGGGCGUAAAGGGCGCGUAGGCGGCCACCGCAAGUCGACUGUGAAAUCUCCGGGCUUAACCCGGAAAGGUCAGCCGAUACUGCGGGGCUAGAGUGCAGAAGGGGCAACUGGAAUUCUCGGUGUAGCGGUGAAAUGCGUAGAUAUCGGGAGGAACACCGGUGGCGAAGGCGGCCAUCUGGACGGAUACUGACGCUGAGGCGCGAAAGCGUGGGUAGCAAACAGG